This 253-nucleotide ribosomal RNA is filed under the name Escherichia coli. Its description in RNAcentral is "partial 16S ribosomal RNA". It matches the Rfam family "Bacterial small subunit ribosomal RNA", at positions 1 to 250 of the family's 1533-position model. The record is from RNAcentral. Lineage: Bacteria; Pseudomonadati; Pseudomonadota; Gammaproteobacteria; Enterobacterales; Enterobacteriaceae.
AAAUUGAAGAGUUUGAUCAUGGCUCAGAUUGAACGCUGGCGGCAGGCCUAACACAUGCAAGUCGAACGGUAACAGGAAGCAGCUUGCUGCUUUGCUGACGAGUGGCGGACGGGUGAGUAAUGUCUGGGAAACUGCCUGAUGGAGGGGGAUAACUACUGGAAACGGUAGCUAAUACCGCAUAACGUCGCAAGACCAAAGAGGGGGACCUUCGGGCCUCUUGUCAUCGGAUGUGCCCAGAUGGGAUUAGCUAGUA